GGGCUCGCUUUGGCAGCACAUAUACUAAAAUUAGAACCAUACAAGGAAGAUUAGCAUGGCCCCUGCACAAGGAUGCCAUGCAAAUCCACGAAGCAUUCAAAUUCCAA
Molecule: small nuclear RNA, 107 nt
Organism: Microtus oregoni (creeping vole)
Lineage: Eukaryota; Metazoa; Chordata; Mammalia; Rodentia; Cricetidae
Source: RefSeq, a predicted model, not a curated record